Molecule: long non-coding RNA, 840 nt
Filed under: Lactuca sativa (garden lettuce)
Lineage: Eukaryota; Viridiplantae; Streptophyta; Magnoliopsida; Asterales; Asteraceae
Description: long non-coding RNA (LSAT_LNC003293)
Source: RNAcentral
UCAAGUUACUCUUAUCAAAUAUAAAAUAACUUGUAAAUGUAUAUAUGUUUAGAUCAAUAAAAAUGAGCAUGUUUCACAUUACAUAUUUGGGAAAACGACUUAAAAGCCCAACGAAGUUUCAAAACCAUUUAAAAAAUCUCAAUCAUGUUUUGUCUGUUCAAAAAAACCCAACGAACUUAACCUUUUGUCUAAAAAGUCCAACAAUGUUCCAAACCGUUCAGAAAAUUUCAAUUUUGUUUUGUUUAAGUUCGUUGGUUUUUUUUUUAACAGUCAAAACAUGAUUGGAGUUUUUUAAACGUUUUGGAAACUUCGUUGGUCUAACAAGUCAUUUUAUCGAUACGGUAAUAAGCCACAUCAUCUAUUUCUCUUAUUUGACUUUUAGGAAAAUGUAACUUAGUUAGGUUUUUAAGACAAAAUGUUAAGUUUGUUGGGUUUUUUUGAACAGACAAAACAUGAGUGAGGUUUUUUGAACGGUUUGGAGACUUCGUUGGGCUUUUAAGUCAUUUUCCCUACAUAUUUUAAGGUCACAUCGUGCUACACUUACGCUUGACUUUCUCUGUAAAACUCCCACUCCCUUCUCUGGGUUCUCCCGCCCAUUCCGUCUCCAUCCUUUUAGGACGCCUGCCUUGCACUUUAACCUAUUUGUAAAGACCACACCCUUAUCGCUGCAACAACCCCUACUCAUGUCUAAAGUUUUAAGAAUGAAUUGUAAACAAGAAGAACAAAUACUAGAUUGCCUAACUCGCAACUUUAUUAUUGAAGAAACUUGCAACAAAACUUUAAUCUGAAUUAACAAAUUACAGGAUCCUAAUUAAUUGGUUUUAUACUAAACAAUCUUAU